AAAAAAAAAAAAAAAAAAAAACUCUCUUUCUUUCUCAAAAUGUGUAUGAUUGUGUUGUGUGUGGGUGUUGGAGGAGAACAGCUACGCAGUUCUUGUCAAGGGGAAUCCCAUUCAUAUUCAAUUCAUGGAUCAUCAGACACCUGACUGCAAAAAGAUUAUGCGCUUUAUGCUGUGCAAUUCCAUCUGUUUGUCACCUGUUGUUCCUUAGUCGAGAGGGUUUUCGGCGAGCAUGCAUGAGAGCAAAGAAACGACCUUCAAUCUAUCUCCCCGCUUACCCGUGUCUUAACUUGUCUUCCAUUUUAAUUGCCAUCGACCUCGGUCAUCCUUGUCGCCAGUACUUUGUGAAACUCAUUACCGUAGUUAGUUGUGCUUGGCUCAGCUACAUAUUGUUCACCAGUGACGUUGUUGCCACUUGAAGGUCGGCGAGAUCUACUUGCUGCGCAGCAGCGGCUUCCACCAGAUUUAUUUAUAUUUGUGGACCCAAACGGUUAAGAUGUGGUGGUUCCGCCGGGCUAAGGGCGUGGAUAUGUUCUGAUGAAGAGUAGUCUUGCUCUUCCAUUUGUUGUGAUGUUUUUGUAAGCCAAGGGCUAAUCUAUAUGGGUCCGAGAGACCAUUUUGUGUAACUGGGCUAUUGGCUUGGAAGAUGUAAGCCCUUAGGGGCAUUUUAUUUGUGUUAAGAUUAGAUGCUUCACAUGCUGUAGAUUCAUGUAUUUCUAUAUUCUUGAACAUUUAAACAUUGAUGGUAUAUUAUGUAAAGGUUGGAGUUAUGACAUUAUUGAUUGGGUGAAUGUUGAUUAA
This is a long non-coding RNA of Camellia sinensis, 798 nucleotides long. RefSeq lists it as uncharacterized. The record is from RefSeq and is a predicted model, not a curated record. NCBI's taxonomy places the organism in Eukaryota, Viridiplantae, Streptophyta, Magnoliopsida, Ericales, Theaceae.